CUUGCAACCCACUCCCCUAAAGAACCCUCAGUGAUGUCUGGUCCCUGUUGAAGUGGGAAAACACACUACUGGUAUCAGUUGGUAAGGAAGGGAAAAUGACUGGAAGGGACAGUGCCUUAUUUCCAUGUGCCUGUGGGAAAAGACAUAGAUGAAAACAAUAAAUGAGGGAUUUUUUAAAUAUUCAUCUAAUAUCUCAACAAAAUACUUUGGUUUGCCUUUUUCCUGUAGACUUACAGCUGUGUAUAGGAACACCAAUGUUUUAUGAAGGGUAGUAGCAUUCAUAACAGACCUUUGUUCAUCUCAGAAGAAAAUACGAUAAAGAGCCAGCUUCUGUCAUACAGAAAACACACAAGAUGAUUGUUAAAGGUGUUCCAACAUGGGAUAGUGCCACAGAAAGGCCCUGCACGGAUAAUUCAUCUCUGUUGCCUUGGAGUCAAUUAGGAUCAAGCCUAGCUAAAAUCAAAGAAAUUAAUAGUGUUGACUUCAGCAAAACUAUGGAUGACGCUCACUGCAAUCAAUGAAUGCUGUUGUCCAUCACUUUCGCGAGCACUGCUCUUAGUCUAAAAUUAUAAGUAUUAUCUCCCGGAAUUUUAACCUUGAAAAAAGGGUGCAUCCGUCAGAACUACUUUUUAAGAGCUAUCUUGAGAAGUCUAGCAGAUAGCAGUAUUGCAUACUCAAGGAUCCUUGUAUUAGGAGUUUCAUAAAUAUUGUAUAUAUUGGGUGUGUAAUGUGCUGAAUUGGUUCCUCUGCAGCAGUGAGAUUCAUCAUGUCAACGAUUAAUGGUUUAAGGCUCUGAAAGAAUAAACUGAAGCAUUAGGAAUGUAAUGGGCUCUAAAGGACUGCAGUUGUCUUAUGUGGUACAGAGCUGCAGAAAAUGAGGGGUCUCAUGCUGUGCAGCUGUAACAAGAAUGGUUCCAGAAGAGCUGCUUCUUAGAAGGAAAAUGUAGAUAUUCGCGUUUAAUUUUUUAUCAUAUUAUUUUCUUUAACCCUAUGCUAUUAAAAAAGCAAAACCCCCAAAGACCUUCCAUCAACUGCCUGGACUAUAGAAUAACAGGUAGAGAGAAUAAUCUAGUGGUUAGACUGUGGGCCUGAGGCUUGAUUGCCUGAGGCUUGAUUCUUCUCUCACUACAGUCUGACCAUUCUGGAGAUGUGUCUUUUGUUUCCAGUUCUGCCAGCGAUUGGUAGUGUGACCUCUGGCAAAGACACUUACCCUCUCUUGUAUUGUUUCCCCUUUGUAAAAUAAAGAAAAAUAGUUAACCCACUUCAGUCAGAGCUUUAAAUUAGGUACGUAACAACAUAGCAUCAUAUGUUGUUAUAUGAACAACGUAUCAUGCGGAAUACUGUAACUACAUGCCAUGUAAACAUUGUGUGGCAGCAGUUGCAUCUAGGUACCGAGGUAGGCCUCUUUUUUGAAGCAUGAGUACAUUACAGGUAAGUUGGUAUUAGCAGUAACUAAAAUACUAAAUUCUGCUAGACUUUUGCUGGCUCUGUGUACAGAGUACUCUCGUCCUCA
Molecule: long non-coding RNA, 1513 nt
Filed under: Aquila chrysaetos chrysaetos
Lineage: Eukaryota; Metazoa; Chordata; Aves; Accipitriformes; Accipitridae
Description: lncRNA (ENSACCG00020014105.1)
Source: RNAcentral